This 443-nucleotide ribosomal RNA is filed under the name uncultured bacterium. RNAcentral describes it as "partial 16S ribosomal RNA". It matches the Rfam family "Bacterial small subunit ribosomal RNA", at positions 338 to 795 of the family's 1533-position model. The record is from RNAcentral.
CCUACGGGCGGCAGCAGUGGGGAAUAUUGGACAAUGGGGGGAACCCUGAUCCAGCGACGCCGCGUGAGUGAAGAAGUAUUUCGGUAUGUAAAGCUCUAUCAGCAGGGAAGAAAGAAAUGACGGUACCUGACUAAGAAGCCCCGGCUAACUACGUGCCAGCAGCCGCGGUAAUACGUAGGGGGCAAGCGUUAUCCGGAUUUACUGGGUGUAAAGGGAGCGUAGACGGCGAUGCAAGUCUGAAGUGAAAGGCGGGGGCCCAACCUCCGGACUGCUUUGGAAACUGUAUGGCUGGAGUGCAGGAGAGGUAAGUGGAAUUCCUAGUGUAGCGGUGAAAUGCGUAGAGAUUAGGAGGAACACCAGUGGCGAAGGCGGCUUACUGGACUGUAACUGACGUUGAGGCUCGAAAGCGUGGGGAGCAAACAGGAUUAGAUACCCUUGUAGUC